CUUCAGUGUCGGCGCGAAUUUCAAAUUGUGAAGUGCGUAAAAGUGUUGAUCUUGUGAUAGUGUUUUUAAAAGCUUACGGAAGUAUUACACAAAUUUUGAGUCAUUAAAGAUAUAUUUUUAUCUGAAGCAGAUAGCAUAUUUUAAAGACAAGGACGAGAAGUCGUUAACAAUGUCACGCAAUUUAUGAAAAAGGAAGCAAAGGAAGGUAUAACUAUUCCACUCACGGGUUCAUAAAACUAUACCGCUACAACAAAUUUUUGUCAUAGAGAUUCUAGACUAUGUAGAAAAUGGAGGGAGCAAGCACUUCUUUUUGCACGUUCAGGGAAAAGAGGCCAAGGAUUUCAAGGAAAUUGGGACAUAUCACUCUAGGACAAAUGAAAUCCUUAAGCAAAUUCGUUUACGAUUUUUAUAUUAUCGACAAGAGACGACCUAUUUGAAAACGUA
Cylas formicarius (sweet potato weevil) is the source of this 444-nucleotide long non-coding RNA. RefSeq lists it as uncharacterized. The record is from RefSeq and is a predicted model, not a curated record. Lineage: Eukaryota; Metazoa; Arthropoda; Insecta; Coleoptera; Brentidae. The transcript is spliced from 3 exons.